Xenia sp. Carnegie-2017 is the source of this 819-nucleotide long non-coding RNA. RefSeq lists it as uncharacterized. The record is from RefSeq and is a predicted model, not a curated record. NCBI's taxonomy places the organism in Eukaryota, Metazoa, Cnidaria, Anthozoa, Malacalcyonacea, Xeniidae. The transcript has 3 exons.
AUUGUUGCUUUAUUGUGGGUGGCUUUAAAUAUUCUUCCUUCAGCACAUUAUACAAAGCUUCACAGACCUCAGGUACAAUUUUUGAAAUAGAUGAAACUGAUAUUCUGAAACUGUACAUGAACCUUCCAGUGGCAGCACAGAAAAAAUUCUGAGUUCAAUUACUUCUCGUAGUUUCAAGUCAUCUUCAAAAACUGGUAGAUUUGAUAUUUGUGUUUUAGGAGAUUCUAAGUCCAGUGACAUUCAUUUUGUGUAAUAUUUUGUAGAUGAACCUUCCACUCCCAACACAGUCGAAUUUAAAAAACGUUUUCUCACAAAGGAUCACAAAAUUAAACAGAGCGUCCAUGAAAAUUUGAAAAGUUUUCCUUGGCUUUGUGGCAAGUAUGGUACAGCACGUCCUACUUAUGAGUUGAAUUAUCGUCACAUGUAUCUUGAAGUUGACGAAUCAAAGACUGAGGAUCUUUUAAAGCAAGAAAUCGAUGACAAAUUUGAAUAGAAAGCUUCAGAUUACAUCGAAUUACGUUAUGUUGACCCACGUAAGAAAAUAGAAAUGCAACAGCUAUCCAACAAUGUUAUGGCUGAUUGAAAGAAGACGGAGGACUAGCAAAUUAAGUGUCAAGGGAAAAAAGUGGUUGGUUUACCUUUGGAGAAGCAAUACAUAUAUUCAAAAGCGGUAGAUAUUCUGACGAUAGUUCAUAAACGCAACCUUCUACGGAACAUUCAGGAUCUUGGACUACGUUUAGAAAGCCCAUGUCACUACCAAAUGCACUUAAGAGUUAAUGACAAUAAAACUGAUUUUGAAAACUCUCUUAAAGACACUGC